CAGUGAUGUAUAGGAAGAGAAGAGUUGCUACAAACUCAGCUAUGACAGCUCUGUACAAAGACCACUUUGUUAACUCAUCUAAAUCAAACAAAGGUGCUGGUGGUGGAUCUUGGUAAUCCUUAGCUGAAAAUUCACCACCUUGUUCUUGAACCUCAACAUCUUUGCCCAUGUUUGUGUUCUUGUGUUUGUGCCAAGAGGUGGUGGGUGUGUGUUACUUAAUUGAAGUGUACUAUUUUUGUGUGGAUUGAUGAAUGAGUAGAAAUAUGGUAUUUAAGGAAUCAAAUGUGCCAAUCAAAU
RNAcentral lists this long non-coding RNA (297 nucleotides) under Medicago truncatula (barrel medic). RNAcentral describes it as "long non-coding RNA (MTRU_LNC008885)". Lineage: Eukaryota; Viridiplantae; Streptophyta; Magnoliopsida; Fabales; Fabaceae. The record is from RNAcentral.